Long non-coding RNA from Cloeon dipterum, 564 nucleotides. RefSeq lists it as uncharacterized. Lineage: Eukaryota; Metazoa; Arthropoda; Insecta; Ephemeroptera; Baetidae. The record is from RefSeq and is a predicted model, not a curated record. The transcript is spliced from 3 exons.
AUCCGUAUUUGUGCUUUACAUUCUUUCUCACGGCCACAGAGAUGGAAUAAUCUUCACAGAUCAUUACAAGAACGAUAAUCGCGCGGGCGUGGAAGAGCAGCGCGCCAGCAGAAGUGACGGAGGCCUAGAUCCAAUAGAUUUAUUUAUUUCCUUCACAAUAACGGAGAUUUUCGAUUCUCUGAAAAAGCUGACUGGCUUCGAGGAUUGUCUUAAACUUAUAAACUUUGGUCCAUGUAGAGGGGAACUGAUGGACGCAGUUCAUAACGAAAACCAGAAAAAGAUACCGUUCAAGAACGAAAACUCUUGCCGAAUCACCUACAGCCCUGAGAUGAGGAACACCGUUGUGUUCUUCUCAACAGUUGAAACAACCCUGGCUAAUCGAGACCAAUCAGGAACAACUUUCACCCGCCUAACUUGCCAGGUGUUAGAUUCGAUUGAGAAGGACGAAAGUCUCAUUAAUGUCCUAGCAAUUAUUCAAUAUGAGAGUCACAAAGUUGCAGUCAAAGAGAUAACUGGACAAACUCCUGAAGUAAAGAUGUUUUCUCAGGACAGAAGUUUCGUCUU